Ovis aries (sheep) is the source of this 73-nucleotide transfer RNA. It matches the Rfam family "tRNA". From Rfam's summary of the family: Transfer RNA (tRNA) molecules are approximately 80 nucleotides in length. The record is from Rfam. NCBI's taxonomy places the organism in Eukaryota, Metazoa, Chordata, Mammalia, Artiodactyla, Bovidae.
UCCCUGGUGGUCCAGUGGUUAAGACUCUGAGCUUCCACUGCAGGGGGCCUAGGUUCAAUCCCUGGACAGGGAA